GAUGAAGAACGUAGCAAAAUGCGAUAAGUAAUGUGAAUUGCAGAAUUCGGUGAAUCAUCGAAUCUUUGAACGCACAUUGCGCCCGCUGGUAUUCCGGCGGGCAUGCCUGUUCGAGCGUCAUUUCAACCCUCAAGCCCCCGGGUUUGGUGUUGGGGAUCGGCUCUGCCCUUCUGGGCGGUGCCGCCCCCGAAAUACAUUGGCGGUCUCGCUGCAGCCUCCAUUGCGUAGUAGCUAACACCUCGCAACUGGAACGCGGCGCGGCCAUGCCGUAAAACCCCAACUUCUGAAUGUUGACCUCGGAUCAGGUAGGAAUACCCGCUGAACUUAAGCAUAUCAAUAAGCGGAGGA
RNAcentral lists this unclassified non-coding RNA (348 nucleotides) under soil metagenome. RNAcentral's name for it is "partial contains 5.8S ribosomal RNA, internal transcribed spacer 2, and large subunit ribosomal RNA". The stretch from base 1 to 120 matches the Rfam family "5.8S ribosomal RNA", at positions 35 to 154 of the family's 154-position model. The record is from RNAcentral.